RNAcentral lists this ribosomal RNA (301 nucleotides) under uncultured bacterium. RNAcentral describes it as "partial 16S ribosomal RNA". It matches the Rfam family "Bacterial small subunit ribosomal RNA", at positions 509 to 808 of the family's 1533-position model. The record is from RNAcentral.
CAGUAGCCGCGGUAAAACGUAGGUCCCGAGCGUUGUCCGGAUUUAUUGGGCGUAAAGCGAGCGCAGGCGGUUAGAUAAGUCUGAAGUUAAAGGCUGUGGCUUAACCAUAGUACGCUUUGGAAACUGUUUAACUUGAGUGCAAGAGGGGAGAGUGGAAUUCCAUGUGUAGCGGUGAAAUGCGUAGAUAUAUGGAGGAACACCGGUGGCGAAAGCGGCUCUCUGGCUUGUAACUGACGCUGAGGCUCGAAAGCGUGGGGAGCAAACAGGAUUAGAUACCCCAGUAGUCCCUGUCUCUUAUACA